This 485-nucleotide long non-coding RNA is filed under the name Nicotiana benthamiana. Its description in RNAcentral is "long non-coding RNA (NBEN_LNC016304)". The record is from RNAcentral. Lineage: Eukaryota; Viridiplantae; Streptophyta; Magnoliopsida; Solanales; Solanaceae.
AAAAUAGCCGUUGGGCCCGCCAGGACCGGCUCAGGCCCGCCAGCCGGUCCCGGGCCUAACGGUUCGAGGUGUGAGACCGGCUCGUCACGGGCUUUUGGGAACAUCAGGACCAGACAGCCGGGACCGGCCCAGCAGGACCGAUAGGCCCUCCAGGCACGCGGUCCCGAUCCGGUCCCGGGCCUGAACCGGGACACCAAACAGCCUUAGUCCCAACUAAUUCCGGGGGCGCACAGGCCCCGGCAAGGAGUUUCCCGCAAGUGCACCAUGGUUAAUUCAGGUUUUAUCCAGUCCGAUGACCCUCAGAAAUUGUUUGCACCCAGUGAGUUUCGAACUUGAGAUCUUGAAAGGGAGCAAACCAUAAGGCUCAAGUCAAUUGCUAACAGGCCAAUCCUAAGGGUUAAUUUCAGGGAAAAUUUUCUAAGUUUUUUGCUAAAAAUCCAAGGAAAACAGAACCAUCCUACAAUAGAAUAGUAGCUGAAUCUUUU